CGUAGGGAGCAAGCGUUGUUCGGAUUUACUGGGCGUAAAGGGCGCGUAGGCGGCAUAUUAAGUCAGCUGUGAAAUCUCCGAGCUUAACUCGGAACUGUCAGCUGAUACUGAUGUGCUCGAGUGCGGAAGGGGCAAUCGGAAUUCUUGGUGUAGCGGUGAAAUGCGUAGAUAUCAAGAGGAACACCUGAGGUGAAGACGGGUUGCUGGGCCGACACUGACGCUGACAGCGCGAAAGCCAGGGGAGCAAACGGGAUUAGAUACCCCGGUAGUCCUGGCCUUAAACGAUGAAUACUUGGUGUCUGGAGUCUCUAUAGCUCCGGGUGCCGUCGCUAACGUUUUUAGUAUUCCGCCUGGGGAGUACGCACGCAAGUGUG
This 374-nucleotide ribosomal RNA is filed under the name uncultured organism. RNAcentral describes it as "bacterial SSU rRNA". It matches the Rfam family "Bacterial small subunit ribosomal RNA", at positions 526 to 896 of the family's 1533-position model. The record is from RNAcentral.